AACUGAACAAUUUGCAGUUGCGUUAGUACAUUAAUUAGCUCAGAUCAUUGCCACGCCCACAAGAUGCCGAAAAUCAAAAAAUAUAUAGAUAAUUUUAAAAGGAAGGUAUUGGAAUGCAAAGCAGACCAAAGCUUUUCUAGCACUCAGAUAACGAUAAUGGAGAUCUCGGCGCCUAUGUCUGACUUUUUAUUAUGAUUUUCCUUCUAUAUUCUAAAGCUCAUUUAAGUUUAAAGCCAAGGGCAAAUAAAAUGCAUAGGACAUCCUUUAGUCCCAACCCAUCGCAUUUCCGAUUGUCUUUAUAACAUAUGCAAAUGUACAAGGAGGGUUCCAAAGUAAAUAGGACAGAACAAAUUUUUUUUUUUUUGGCAAAAUCAAUUUAUUUUAUUCAAACUAGUCUCCUUCUGCUUCAAUACAGCUUUCUGCACGGUCCAAAAGCAUGUCGAACGAGUCUUUUAGCUCGUUGGAAGGUAUGGCCGCAUGUAUGCCGGUGCAAGCCUUUUGAAUGGCCUAGACCUCUGCAUAACGCUUUCUUUUCAUGAGCAAAUGCAUUUUUCCGAAAAGGAAAAAGUCGCAAGGUGCCAUAUCAGGUGAAUACGGGGAGUGGUUGAUGGUUAAAAUGUGAUUUUUGGUCAAAUAAUCGGUCACAAGCGUCGAUUGUUGAGACGGCGUUUUUGGUCGUCAGUCAAUUUGUGCGGAACAAACCGUGCACACACCUUCCGUAAGCCCAAACGUUCGGUCAAAAUGCGAUAAAUCGAUGUUUUGGAGAUGUUCAAUUCCAUUUCCAUGAAUUUCAAUGAUGAUUUCGGCUGAUUUUUGAUGAAUUCACGCACAGUUUCGAAUUUCCGGUGAUCACGGAUUUUGAUUGGCCCACAUGUUGAUCGUCAUUUAUGUCCUCACGACCACUAUGAAAACGUUGAAACCACUCGUGCACUCUGCUACGGGAUAGGAAAUCAUCGUCAUAAAUUUGUUUCAUCAAUUGAAACGUUACGCUCAUUUUCGCACCGAUAACACAAACAUACUGACACUUAAAACGCAAGAACUUCACUUCCAAUCAAUGAAAUGUCAAAAUCGAUGGAGAUAGCAGAUUCUAACACACCAGUCGACAUAUAGAUGGCGCCACCAGGGGCGCUAGAUUCGAAAAGUCCUGUUUACUUUGGAACGCACCUUGUAUAUCGAUCAAUAUGUGUGAUAUUACCAUUUGUUAAAUUUAUUUGCUUUACUUCUUUUAUAUACUCUUGAAAACAGUAGUUUAUUUAUUAUAAUUACCAA
Long non-coding RNA from Bactrocera neohumeralis, 1269 nucleotides. RefSeq lists it as uncharacterized. Lineage: Eukaryota; Metazoa; Arthropoda; Insecta; Diptera; Tephritidae. The transcript has 2 exons. The record is from RefSeq and is a predicted model, not a curated record.